This 925-nucleotide ribosomal RNA is filed under the name uncultured bacterium. RNAcentral describes it as "bacterial SSU rRNA". It matches the Rfam family "Bacterial small subunit ribosomal RNA", at positions 8 to 917 of the family's 1533-position model. The record is from RNAcentral.
AGAGUUUGAUCCUGGCUCAGAACGAACGCUGGCGGCGUGCUUAACACAUGCAAGUCGAACGAGAAAUUUCUCCUUCGGGGAAAAGAGUAAAGUGGCGCACGGGUGAGUAACGCGUAGAUAAUCUACCCUGGUGUCUGGGAUAACAUCGCGAAAGCGUUGCUAAUACCUGAUACGCUCCUUCGGGAGGAAAGAUGGCCUCUGCUUGCAAGCUAUCGCAUUGGGAUGAGUCUGCGUACCAUUAGCUAGUUGGUAGGGUAAAGGCCUACCAAGGCAACGAUGGUUAGCGGGUCUGAGAGGAUGAUCCGCCACACUGGAACUGGAACACGGACCAGACUCCUACGGGAGGCAGCAGUGAGGAAUUUUGCGCAAUGGGGGAAACCCUGACGCAGCGACGCCGCGUGGGUGAUGAAGGCUUUCGAGUCGUAAAGCCCUGUCAAGUGGGAAGAAGUGUGCAUAUGCUAAUACCGUAUGCAUUUGACGGUACCACUAAAGGAAGCGCCGGCUAACUCCGUGCCAGCAGCCGCGGUAAUACGGAGGGUGCAAGCGUUGUUCGGAAUUACUGGGCGUAAAGGGCGCGUAGGCGGCGUAACAAGUCAGGUGUGAAAGUCCAGGGCUUAACCCUGGAAGUGCAUCUGAAACUGUUAUGCUUGAGUAUCGGAGAGGAAAGUGGAAUUCCCGGUGUAGAGGUGAAAUUCGUAGAUAUCGGGAGGAACACCUGAAGCGAAGGCGACUUUCUGGACGAAUACUGACGCUGAGGCGCGAAAGCGUGGGGAGCAAACAGGAUUAGAUACCCUGGUAGUCCACAGCUGUAAACGAUGUGCACUAGAUGUCGGGGGAGUUGACCCCUUCGGUGUCGGAGCUAACGCAUUAAGUGCACCGCCUGGGGAGUACGGUCGCAAGAUUAAAACUCAAAGGAAUUGACGGG